GGCCCCCCCUAGAGCGGCGGACGGGUGAGUAACACGUGGACAAUCUGCCCCCCGGUUGGGGAUAGCCCAGGGAAACCUGGAUCAAUACCGGAUGCGACGGGAGGCACGCAGGUGCUUCCCGGGAAAGGCGCUUCGGCGCCGCCGGGGGAUGAGUCCGCGCCCCAUUAGCUAGACGGUGAGGGUAACGGCCCACCGUGGCGAUGAUGGGUAGCCGGCCUGAGAGGGUGGACGGCCACAUUGGAACUGAGACACGGUCCAGACUCCUACGGGAGGCAGCAGCUAAGAAUCUUCCGCAAUGGGCGCAAGCCUGACGGAGCGACGCCGCGUGAACGAUGAAGGCCGUGAGGUUGUAAAGUUCUUUUCGGGAGGGGGAAUGAGCCUGCCAGGCAAUGGGCGGGCGAUGACGUGAAUCCCGGAAUAAGCCCCGGCUAACUACGUGCCAGCAGCCGCGGUAACACGUAGGGGGCGAGCGUUGUUCGGAAUCAUUGGGCGUAAAGGGCGUGCAGGCGGCCGCCAAAGUCCGGCGUGAAAGACCCAGGCUCAACCUGGGGGGUGCGCCGGAUACUGGGCGGCUUGAGUACAGGAGGGGAUGGCGGAAUUCCAGGUGUAGGGGUGAAAUCUGUAGAUAUCUGGAGGAACACCGAUGGCGA
This 650-nucleotide ribosomal RNA is filed under the name uncultured bacterium. Its description in RNAcentral is "bacterial SSU rRNA". It matches the Rfam family "Bacterial small subunit ribosomal RNA", at positions 82 to 718 of the family's 1533-position model. The record is from RNAcentral.